GCGAGAAUACCCGGCGAAUUUAAGCAUAUUACGUAACCGGAGGAAAAGAAACCAACAGGGACGUCCUCAGUAGCGGCGAGCGAAGCGGACGAUGGCCCCAAACCGAACCGCGGUUCCCGAGGGGCCGCGGAGUGUGGAGAGGAUGAGCUCGCGAGGGGGCGGGACGGGUUCCAAUCCGUCUGGAAGGGCGGAGGCACGGAGGGCGAUUCCCCGUACGUGCUCGGUCCGUCCCCGACGAGCGAACGCAUCGGAGAGUCGGGCCGCUUGAGAGUGCAGCCCCGAAUGGGGUGAUAGGUCUCAUCCAAGGCUAAGUACGUGGGAGACGCCGAUAGCGAACAAGUACGGCGACGGAAAGGUGAAAAGAACCUCGAAAGGGGGUCAAAAGCGCUCGAAAUCGUAGAGGGGGAAGCGGACCUGACCGACGAGACCUCGUCGUCGCUCGCGCUCGA
RNAcentral lists this ribosomal RNA (449 nucleotides) under uncultured eukaryote. RNAcentral describes it as "eukaryotic LSU rRNA". It matches the Rfam family "Eukaryotic large subunit ribosomal RNA", at positions 15 to 459 of the family's 3401-position model. The record is from RNAcentral.